UAUAAGAAUAUAUAAAUAAGUACAAGAGAAAAUAUUGGUUGGGGCUGGCUUUGUGUGAUGAGAUCAGAGUCAAGACACCUGAAGCAAAAACUUAAGUUGAAAAGGCUCCAAAGAGACCUGCCGUGAAAGCUACCGAAAAGAGUAAUAAAGGAAGGGGCACUAGAUCCUGUGGCUGAGAAACCUCACCAGCAAAGUUAAGGUAAGCACCGAAUGGGAGGGAGGAAGAAUUUGGAUUCUUUCUCUAACAUUGGCCGAAUGGAUGUUGGUUGUUGCAAUUCUUGAGUACUACUAGUGAAAUGUGAUAUAUAAAGGUACUCUGGACUUGUUGGAAAUGCAUCUCAAGUAAUCCUAAGAUUUUGGAAGAGGUCAAAGAAGAGAAAGGAGCUCAAACAGUAUGAUGUCCACAAAGAUAUAGAAGUUCAAAGAAUGCAAUAACUGGAUGGAAGAGAGUUUGUAAGCGGUGAUCUUUACCUUGCUCUUUUGUUAUAAUAAAUUAGUCUUGGGUUACUUACCAAAGAGGGAAAGAGUAAAUGGUUUUGUAAAGGGUGAAUAUAGAAGUUCAAAGCAAUGUGGAAUCAAUUCAAGGAAAUUAGUUAUUAGCUAAGUUGUUGAGGAAGAUUCAAGUUCUCACUAAUUUAGUCUUUUUCAAUUUCUUAUUCUAUUAUAUUUUGCAAGGUGGGAGGAGGUCAUAUGAAAAAAGUGUAUGUUCAUUUAGUACCCGGAGAAUAUUUUGUAUAUUUAAUCACAACAUUCUAACAAUGUAUAUUUUGUUAGAACUUAUACUCUACUAGUCUGAAUAUGCAAAAUUGGUUGGAGUUGCUCCUGAGAAAAUGGUGCUUAUUGUACUGUACAGGGAGGCACAUA
Molecule: non-coding RNA, 864 nt
Organism: Corylus avellana
Lineage: Eukaryota; Viridiplantae; Streptophyta; Magnoliopsida; Fagales; Betulaceae
Source: RefSeq, a predicted model, not a curated record